Molecule: ribosomal RNA, 501 nt
Filed under: uncultured bacterium
Lineage: Bacteria
Description: partial 16S ribosomal RNA
Rfam family: Bacterial small subunit ribosomal RNA
Source: RNAcentral
AUUGAACGCUGGCGGCAUGCCUUACACAUGCAAGUCGAACGGCAGCACGGGUGCUUGCACCUGGUGGCGAGUGGCGAACGGGUGAGUAAUACAUCGGAACGUACCUUAUCGUGGGGGAUAACGCAGCGAAAGCUGUGCUAAUACCGCAUACGCCCUGAGGGGGAAAGCGGGGGAGCGAAAGACCUCGCGCGAUUAGAGCGGCCGAUGCCUGAUUAGAUUGUUGGUGGGGUAAAAGCCCACAAAGGCGACGAUCAGUAGCUGGUCUGAGAGGACAAUCAGCCACACUGGGACUGAGACACGGCCCAGACUCCUACGGGAGGCAGCAGUGGGGAAUUUUGGACAAUGGGGGCAACCCUGAUCCAGCAAUGCCGCGUGAGUGAAGAAGGCCUUCGGGUUGUAAAGCUCUUUUGUCAGGGAAGAAACACCGGCUCUAACACAGUCCGGGAAUGACGGUACCUGAAGAAUAAGCACCGGCUAACUACGUGCCAGCCGCCGCCGUAA